UACAUGGGGUGCAAACGUUGCUCGGAAUUAUUGGGCGUAAAGCGCACGUAGGCGGUUCGUUAAGUCGGAUGUGAAAGCCCUCGGCUCAACUGAGGAAGUGCACCCGAAACUGGCGAGCUUGAGUACGAAAGAGGAUCGCGGAAUUCCCGGUGUAGAGGUGAAAUUCGUAGAUAUCGGGAGGAACACCGGUGGCGAGGCGGCGACCUGGUCCUUG
This 214-nucleotide ribosomal RNA is filed under the name uncultured bacterium. RNAcentral describes it as "partial 16S ribosomal RNA". It matches the Rfam family "Bacterial small subunit ribosomal RNA", at positions 524 to 738 of the family's 1533-position model. The record is from RNAcentral.